CGGACGGGUGAGUAAUGUAUGGGGAUCUGCCUGAUGGCGGGGGAUAACUACUGGAACGGUAGCUAAUACCGCAUAAUGUCUGCGGACCAAAGCGGGGGACCUCCGGGCCUCGCGCCAUCAGAUGAACCCAUAUGGGAUUAGCUAGUAGGUAAGGUAACGGCUUACCUAGGCGACGAUCCCUAGCUGGUCUGAGAGGAUGACCAGCCACACUGGAACUGAGACACGGUCCAG
This 231-nucleotide ribosomal RNA is filed under the name uncultured bacterium. RNAcentral's name for it is "partial 16S ribosomal RNA". It matches the Rfam family "Bacterial small subunit ribosomal RNA", at positions 99 to 334 of the family's 1533-position model. The record is from RNAcentral.